GCAUAUCAAUAAGCGGAGGAAAAGAAACUAACAAGGAUUCCCCUAGUAGCGGCGAGCGAAGCGGGAAGAGCUCAAAUUUAUAAUCUGGCACCUUCGGUGUCCGAGUUGUAAUCUCUAGAAAUGUUUUCCGCGUUGGACCGCACACAAGUCUGUUGGAAUACAGCGGCAUAGUGGUGAGACCCCCGUAUAUGGUGCGGACGCCCAGCGCUUUGUGAUACAUUUUCGAAGAGUCGAGUUGUUUGGGAAUGCAGCUCAAAUUGGGUGGUAAAUUCCAUCUAAAGCUAAAUAUUGGCGAGAGACCGAUAGCGAACAAGUACCGUGAGGGAAAGAUGAAAAGCACUUUGGAAAGAGAGUUAACAGUACGUGAAAUUGUUGGAAGGGAAACGCUUGAAGUCAGACUUGCUUGCCGAGCAAUCGGUUUGCAGGCCAGCAUCAGUUUUCCGGGAUGGAUAAUGGUAGAGAGAAGGUAGCAGUUUCGGCUGUGUUAUAGCUCUCUGCUGGAUACAUCUUGGGGGACUGAGGAACGCAGUGUGCCUUUGGCGGGGGUUUCGACCUCUCACACUAGGAUGCUGGAACCU
This 578-nucleotide ribosomal RNA is filed under the name Rhodotorula mucilaginosa. Its description in RNAcentral is "LSU rRNA". It matches the Rfam family "Eukaryotic large subunit ribosomal RNA", at positions 38 to 634 of the family's 3401-position model. Lineage: Eukaryota; Fungi; Basidiomycota; Microbotryomycetes; Sporidiobolales; Sporidiobolaceae. The record is from RNAcentral.